AAAUGGAGAGGGCCAUAACCAGUAAGACCUCUCUUCGAUAACUGUCUUGCUAUCCCGUCAUUUUACUGAAGCCUCGACUUCAAAAAGGGGCAGCCACAUGUGAACAGACUUCUCCAAGACCGACCAUACAAGUACAAUGACCGGAGAGAACGCAGUCAUCUUGUUGGGAUAUGAUCCAGGGAGGUAGUAGUGGACCGGUAAGACCUCUGAGAAUGUCUUGCUCGAGCCACCAUUACACACUGAGUACCGAUCACCCGUUGCCGUACAUCUUGAAUCAACUCACUUACAAAGUCAUUGUAGGCUUGAAGAGACUUGUAAGCCUUUAGUUCAUCAAGGGUAUGUGCGCUCACAGAAUUCAUGAAAUAAUUAACGAUAUCGGAUAUGUAACGUCAGGGUAGCCUUCCACAUUGUCACUCCAGUUGCUUGCUUGAAAUUCAUAUGGAUCUUUCCCGCCGAUAUCCUUCAAUUUCUCCAAGUAUAUGGCUCUGCUUAAAGCAUCAAACAUGUUUUUGUCCACUACAUUUGCUUUAAACGAUGUCAUAACUUUUAAACCAAACGGAAAAAUUAACGAUAGAAAAAAACUUAACGCUUCACCAUUCACCUAUGGUCUCUGAACUCUUAAGACACACAGUAUGGCAUCCGUCGCAAGGCAUGAUGGGUAAUCGGAAACCUAUCCAUACGGCACCAAUUUGGGUACUAAGAUGUACUAAGAUAAGACUUGUUAAAUUUCUAUAAGUCCUCACAGCUCUUGUCGUACAAGUUAUGAAGUUACUCACGUUUGAUGUUUCUUCAACAUCCACAAAUUGAUCACAAACGCGUCUCGCUGUUAGCAAGUUAAGCUAAGGAGUACUCGGCUGAUAAGCAAGUUUAAGUUGACAUUUCCACUCGCCCAACUUCUUAUGAGUACUCACUAGCCUCGUUGUAUACGAUACGUAUAUUUUGCAGGACGUGUAGAUACUAGUGUUUGAUGUUUUCCUCUUCAGUAAAUAUAACAAAACAGACCAGUUUUUGUUGUUAGCGGUCUAAGCUAGGCUAACUUUUACUAAGCAGUGAACAAUAUGGCUCCAAUUUGGGUACUGAGAUUGCACAGAUGAUGACUUUAGCACUGAAGUCAUCGCCAGGAGCGUCCCACGUCGAGUAUUCACAACAUUCAGUCCAAAGUCAGCAGGGUUUAUUGAAUUACGUUUGGGCUGGUCAGAGCUUUCUGUUUAAGCUGCUACCAGUUUGAAGACCGGAAGCAACUCCAAUAUAACUACUAAUAAUUAUUAUUAUUAACAUAUGUUAAGUAUUACAUUUUAAAAUAUUUAUUUCGUGUUCCUCACCAUCCCCUCACCAACCCUAUAAUUGCACCGUUGACCUCUUGCUGGGACCCCCUUUCCCCUACAACCUUCUCUUUAAUCUCUCCCAUUCCAAAAAAGAUUCUAUGGGAAAUUAUAUACGUGACUCCCUGGCUUCUGGACUCAUCCAGCCCACUUAUUUUUGCAUGGCAGAGCUGCCAUUUUCUUCGUGGAAAAAAAGAUACUACUCUGUACCACUGCAUUGAUUUUGAGGACUCAAUGAUAUCACAGUAAUAAACAAAGCAUCGCUGCCCCUUAUUAACCCCUAUUUUGAACCCCUAUGUGAUGCCCAGAUUUUCACGAAAUUGUAUCUAUGCAAUGCAUAUCAUCUCAUCCACCUUAGAGAGUUAUGAAUGGAAAUGGCUUUAAAUACCCUACGUGGACACUUUGAAUAUGUGGUCAUGGUGUUUGGAUUAACCUAUGCCCCUGCUGUUUUUCAAACCUUUAUUAAUGAUGUCCUUUGUGACAUGCUGAACUGCUUUGUUUUCAUCUAUUAAGAAAGGCUUGGUGGCGUGGAGUGAAAGUGCCCUUUCAAAUCUGCAGUAAAAGCUAUUGAGGUCGUCGGCUAGUCAGCUAUUGCUUUCUACUAGGAGGGAGCAUCACUUGUAAUUAGUGAGCGAUUGCAAUCCAUGCCAGACUGAUUUGGAAUCAUGCGCGCCAAGCUGUUUUUCCAUAUUCAUCUUCCUUCUAUGCCUGUCUUCACAAAGAUCUUCAACAGGUCUCAGGAACUGUGAGUACCAACCUCUACCAUCAUAACAGGCACAAAAAAGCAGCAGUCUCGGGUCUUAAUGACUACAGGCCAGUUGCCUUGGCAGCUGUGGUCAUGAAGUCCUUUGAACGAUCUUGUGCUGGACAACCUCAAGAGCAUUACACUUCCCCAGCUGGAUCCACUGUAGUUUGCCUCUUGAGCUAACAGGUCUACGGAUGAUGCCGUCUACAUGGGUCUGCACUUCAUCCUUCAACAUCUCGACAGAAAGGCAACCUAUCAGAGGAUCCUGUUUGUGGACUUCAGUUCUGCGUUUUCUACCAUCAUCCCCAAGCUCCUCUCCUCCAAACGUCUCCAGCUCAGCAUCUCACCUGUUAUCUCCAAUUGGAUCUAAAACUUCCUGACGGGCAGGACACAGAAGCAUACAUUACCACCAAAGGACAUUACAACCAGACCAAGCAAAGAUCCAAGCAGUCAUCAAAUGGCCCAUUUCCUCCACCCACAAGGAGCUUCGUUUCCCAAGUUUUGCCAAUUUCUAUUGACGUUUCAUCUGUGACUAUAUUAAGAUUGCCGUCCCUCUCACCAGUCUCACCCCCACCAGCUCACCUUUCCAUUGGACCCCUACCACAUUACGAACAUUCAAACGUCUCAAGGCGGAGGCAGCUUGGGUAGGCGUUACCGAUCAGUGCAAACUAAAACGCGGAGCCAUUACAAGAGCUGCUUCCCUCUUGCCAUUAAAUUCAUUAACAGCUAACUUACAAUUCCAUUGCAACAUGCUUCCAAUUUUUGUCUUAAAUUUGUUGUCACAUUUCUGUCGACCCAACUAUACUGUACAUUACACGUGCUUUUGUUUACAAACACUGGCUGCUCAUGUCCCUGAGUAGGAUCUGGCACCACUUGCAUGACUGAGGAGUAUCUGCAACAGUUGCACAGUCGAGAUUGUCCCAGAUUAUCGCAAUAAUAGUCAUUUUAAACUGCAUGCAUUUCCUGAAGUCUCUGCACCCUUUGCACAAUUGUUAUUGCACCAGAUUAUUGCUUUGUUAGUCUUUCCAUUUGCUCUAUUUGUUAGAGGACUCUUCAUCUCCUUUGCACAAUUGUCAAAAAAUAAAUAAAUAACUUGUACAAACA
Molecule: long non-coding RNA, 3171 nt
Organism: Syngnathoides biaculeatus (alligator pipefish)
Lineage: Eukaryota; Metazoa; Chordata; Actinopteri; Syngnathiformes; Syngnathidae
Exons: 2
Source: RefSeq, a predicted model, not a curated record